This 450-nucleotide unclassified non-coding RNA is filed under the name uncultured fungus. RNAcentral's name for it is "sequence contains ITS2". The stretch from base 1 to 154 matches the Rfam family "5.8S ribosomal RNA". Lineage: Eukaryota; Fungi. The record is from RNAcentral.
AACUUUUAACAACGGAUCUCUUGGCUCUCGCAUCGAUGAAGAACGCAGCGAAAUGCGAUAAGUAAUGUGAAUUGCAGACCUCAGUGAAUCAUCGAAUCUUUGAACGCACAUUGCACUCUCUGGUAUUCCGGAGAGUAUGCCUGCUUCAGUAUCAGUAAACACCAUCAAACAACUCCUUGGAGGGGUUUGGAUUUGAGCGUUGCCGAGAAAACUCACCUUUUUUCGGCCCGCUCGAAAUGCAAGUACACAGGACAGGAUCCUAGACCCCUGAGGUGGGAAAACAAAGCGUAGUAGUUGACUUGACUGUCUUCUUUCGCUGAAAAAGAACACCCGGUUUUUAGGACCUUGCUGUGCAAAUUCGCAGGAAGAAAAGUAAUAUUCUUUUCACUUCUUGAUCUGAAAUCAGGUAGGACUACCCGCUGAACUUAAGCAUAUCAAUAAGCGGAGGCU